This 376-nucleotide ribosomal RNA is filed under the name uncultured Glomus. RNAcentral's name for it is "SSU rRNA". It matches the Rfam family "Eukaryotic small subunit ribosomal RNA", at positions 569 to 952 of the family's 1831-position model. Lineage: Eukaryota; Fungi; Glomeromycota; Glomeromycetes; Glomerales; Glomeraceae. The record is from RNAcentral.
AGCAGCCGCGGUAAUUCCAGCUCCAAUAGCGUAUAUUAAAGUUGUUGCAGUCAAAAAGCUCGUAGUUGAAUUUCGGGGUCAGUAGGUUGGUCGUGCCACCGGUACGUACUGGUCACACUGAUUCCUCCUUCCUGAUGAGCUGUAAUGCCAUUAAUUUGGUGUUGCAGGGAAUCUGGACUGUUACUUUGAAAAAUUGAGUGUUUAAAGCAGGCUAACGCUUGAAUACAUUAGCAUGGAAUAAUGAAAUAGGACGUUCGAUCCUAUUUUGUGUUUCUAGGAUUGACGUAAUGAUUAAUAGGGAUAGUUGGGGCAUUAGUAUUCAAUUGUCAGAGGUGAAAUUCUUAGGAUUUAUUGAAGACUAACUACUGACGAAAGC